GAUCCUGGCUCAGAAUCAACGCUGGCGGCGUGCCUAACACAUGCAAGUCGAACGCGAAAGUCCCGCAAGGGGCAAGUAGAGUGGCAAACGGGUGAGUAACGCGUGGGUGACUUACCUCUGAGUGGGGGAUAACCUUCCGAAAGGAGGGCUAAUACCGCAUGACAUCCCGUGGUUGGAUACACGGACAUCAAAGCCGGGGAUCGCAAGACCUGGCGCUUGGAGAGGGGCCCGCGUCCGAUUAGCUAGUUGGUGAGGUCACGGCUCACCAAGGCAACGAUCGGUAUCCGGCCUGAGAGGGCGGACGGACACACUGGGACUGAGACACGGCCCAGACUCCUACGGGAGGCAGCAGUGGGGAAUUGUUCGCAAUGGGCGCAAGCCUGACGACGCAACGCCGCGUGGAGGAUGAAGACCUUCGGGUCGUAAACUCCUUUCGACCGAGAUGAAUUCUCGCCGGCCUAACACGCCGGCGGGGUGACAGUAUCGAGGGAAGAAGCCCCGGCUAACUCCGUGCCAGCAGCCGCGGUAAUACGGGGGGGGCGAGCGUUGUUCGGAAUUACUGGGCGUAAAGGGUUCGUAGGUGGCCUGCUAAGUCAGACGUGAAAUCCCUCAGCUUAACUGGGGAACUGCGUCUGAUACUGGAUGGCUUGAGGUUGGGAGAGGGAUGCGGAAUUCCAGGUGUAGCGGUGAAAUGCGUAGAUAUCUGGAGGAACACCGGUGGCGAAGGCGACAUCCUGGACCAAUUCUGACGCUGAGGAGCGAAAGCCAGGGGAGCAAACGG
Molecule: ribosomal RNA, 781 nt
Filed under: uncultured Acidobacteriota bacterium
Lineage: Bacteria; Pseudomonadati; Acidobacteriota
Description: bacterial SSU rRNA
Rfam family: Bacterial small subunit ribosomal RNA
Source: RNAcentral